GAUGAACGCUGGCGGCGUGCCUAAUACAUGCAAGUCGAGCGAACAGAUGAGGAGCUUGCUCCUCUGACGUUAGCGGCUGACGGGUGAGUAACACGUGGAUAACCUACCUAUAAGACUGGGAUAACUUCGGGAAACCGGAGCUAAUACCGGAUAAUAUAUUGAACCGCAUGGUUCAAUAGUGAAAGACGGUUUUGCUGUCUCUUAUAGAUGGUUCCGCGCCGCAUUAGCUAGUUGGUAAGGUAACGGCUUACCAAGGCAACGAUGCGUAGCCGACCUGAGAGGGUGAUAGGCCAAACUGGAACUGAGACACGGACCAGACUACUACGGGAGGCAGCAGUAGGGAAUGUUCCGCAAUGGGCGAAAGCAUGACGGAGCAAAGCCGCGUGAGUGAUGAAGGUCUUCGGAUAGUAAAACUCUGUUAUUAGGGAAGAAAAAAUGUGUAAGUAACUAUGCACGUCUUGACGGUAACUAAUCAGAAAGCAACGGCUAACUACGUG
RNAcentral lists this ribosomal RNA (497 nucleotides) under uncultured bacterium. RNAcentral describes it as "partial 16S ribosomal RNA". It matches the Rfam family "Bacterial small subunit ribosomal RNA", at positions 28 to 507 of the family's 1533-position model. The record is from RNAcentral.